AGAUUUAGAGGGAGAAAUAGUUUCCCUAAGUUAUUCAUCACAGGGCAAAGUAUAGCAAUGAGAAAUGAGUAAGAUUAAAAAAACAACAACAACAAAAAAAAAACCAGACCUUCAGCAAGAACAGGCUUCCCCCCUCCCCUCUCCCUUUAAUAAACUACCUGGCUUUUUGCAGUACAAACACCUGAAAUGUAAACGUGACCCUCAUGUUAAGAUAGAAGGGAAGGACACUGAUGACUGGCUGUGCGUGGAUUUUGGCAGCAUGGUGAUUCAUUUGAUGCUUCCGGAAACCAGAGAAAUCUAUGAAUUAGAGAAAUUAUGGACUCUACGUUCUUAUGAUGACCAGUUAGCUCAAAUAGCACCUGAGACAGUACCUGAAGACUUCAUUCUUGGAAUAGAAGAUGAUACUUCAUCUGUGACUCCAGUGGAGUUAAAAUGCGAAUAAAAUAUUUUAUGCACUGCGUUAAGUCAUUUCAGA
This 475-nucleotide small RNA is filed under the name Pongo abelii (Sumatran orangutan). RNAcentral's name for it is "retained intron". The record is from RNAcentral. Lineage: Eukaryota; Metazoa; Chordata; Mammalia; Primates; Hominidae.